AUCGCUUCUCGGCCUUUUGGCUAAGAUCAAGUGUAGUAUCUGUUCUUAUCAGUUUAAUAUCUGAUACGUCCCCUACCCGGGGACCAUAUAUUAAAUUGAUUUUUGGAAUAGGGAGAUGGAAUAGGGGCUUGCUCCGUCCACUCCACGCAUCGACCCGGUAUUGCAGUACUUCCGGGAACGGUGCACCCCCU
Ictalurus punctatus (channel catfish) is the source of this 191-nucleotide small nuclear RNA. Its record names the gene U2. It matches the Rfam family "U2 spliceosomal RNA". From Rfam's summary of the family: U2 is a small nuclear RNA (snRNA) component of the spliceosome (involved in pre-mRNA splicing). Complementary binding between U2 snRNA (in an area lying towards the 5' end but 3' to hairpin I) and the branchpoint sequence (BPS) of the intron results the bulging out of an unpaired adenosine, on the BPS, which initiates a nucleophilic attack at the intronic 5' splice site, thus starting the first of two transesterification reactions that mediate splicing. NCBI's taxonomy places the organism in Eukaryota, Metazoa, Chordata, Actinopteri, Siluriformes, Ictaluridae. The record is from Ensembl.